AUCCUACGGGAGGCAGCAGUGGGGAAUAUUGCACAAUGGGCGCAAGCCUGAUGCAGCCAUGCCGCGUGUAUGAAGAAGGCCUUCGGGUUGUAAAGUACUUUCAGCAGUGAGGAAGGUGGGUAUGUUAAUAGCAUAUUCAUUUGACGUUAGCUGCAGAAGAAGCACCGGCUAACUCCGUGCCAGCAGCCGCGGUAAUACGGAGGGUGCGAGCGUUAAUCGGAAUUACUGGGCGUAAAGCGCAUGCAGGUGGUUGUUAAGUCAGAUGUGAAAGCCCGGGGCUCAACCUCGGAAUUGCAUUUGAAACUGGCAAACUAGAGUACUGUAGAGGGGGUAGAAUUUCAGGUGUAGCGGUGAAAUGCGUAGAGAUCUGAAGGAAUACCGGUGGCGAAGGCGGCCCCCUGGACAGAUACUGACACUCAGAUGCGAAAGCGUGGGGAGCAAACAGGAUUAGAUACCCUGGUAG
This 463-nucleotide ribosomal RNA is filed under the name uncultured bacterium. RNAcentral describes it as "bacterial SSU rRNA". It matches the Rfam family "Bacterial small subunit ribosomal RNA", at positions 335 to 793 of the family's 1533-position model. The record is from RNAcentral.